RNAcentral lists this ribosomal RNA (1369 nucleotides) under Salmonella enterica. RNAcentral's name for it is "partial 23S ribosomal RNA". It matches the Rfam family "Bacterial large subunit ribosomal RNA", at positions 1583 to 2925 of the family's 2925-position model. Lineage: Bacteria; Pseudomonadati; Pseudomonadota; Gammaproteobacteria; Enterobacterales; Enterobacteriaceae. The record is from RNAcentral.
UGCUGAAGCAACAAAUGCCCUGCUUCCAGGAAAAGCCUCUAAGCAUCAGGUAACAUCAAAUCGUACCCCAAACCGACACAGGUGGUCAGGUAGAGAAUACCAAGGCGCUUGAGAGAACUCGGGUGAAGGAACUAGGCAAAAUGGUGCCGUAACUUCGGGAGAAGGCACGCUGACACGUAGGUGAAGUGAUUUACUCAUGGAGCUGAAGUCAGUCGAAGAUACCAGCUGGCUGCAACUGUUUAUUAAAAACACAGCACUGUGCAAACACGAAAGUGGACGUAUACGGUGUGACGCCUGCCCGGUGCCGGAAGGUUAAUUGAUGGGGUCAGCGCAAGCGAAGCUCCUGAUCGAAGCCCCGGUAAACGGCGGCCGUAACUAUAACGGUCCUAAGGUAGCGAAAUUCCUUGUCGGGUAAGUUCCGACCUGCACGAAUGGCGUAAUGAUGGCCAGGCUGUCUCCACCCGAGACUCAGUGAAAUUGAACUCGCUGUGAAGAUGCAGUGUACCCGCGGCAAGACGGAAAGACCCCGUGAACCUUUACUAUAGCUUGACACUGAACAUUGAGCCUUGAUGUGUAGGAUAGGUGGGAGGCUUUGAAGUGUGGACGCCAGUCUGCAUGGAGCCGACCUUGAAAUACCACCCUUUAAUGUUUGAUGUUCUAACGUGGACCCGUGAUCCGGGUUGCGGACAGUGUCUGGUGGGUAGUUUGACUGGGGCGGUCUCCUCCUAAAGAGUAACGGAGGAGCACGAAGGUUGGCUAAUCCUGGUCGGACAUCAGGAGGUUAGUGCAAUGGCAUAAGCCAGCUUGACUGCGAGCGUGACGGCGCGAGCAGGUGCGAAAGCAGGUCAUAGUGAUCCGGUGGUUCUGAAUGGAAGGGCCAUCGCUCAACGGAUAAAAGGUACUCCGGGGAUAACAGGCUGAUACCGCCCAAGAGUUCAUAUCGACGGCGGUGUUUGGCACCUCGAUGUCGGCUCAUCACAUCCUGGGGCUGAAGUAGGUCCCAAGGGUAUGGCUGUUCGCCAUUUAAAGUGGUACGCGAGCUGGGUUUAGAACGUCGUGAGACAGUUCGGUCCCUAUCUGCCGUGGGCGCUGGAGAACUGAGGGGGGCUGCUCCUAGUACGAGAGGACCGGAGUGGACGCAUCACUGGUGUUCGGGUUGUCAUGCCAAUGGCACUGCCCGGUAGCUAAAUGCGGAAGAGAUAAGUGCUGAAAGCAUCUAAGCACGAAACUUGCCCCGAGAUGAGUUCUCCCUGAGACUUUAAGUCUCCUGAAGGAACGUUGAAGACGACGACGUUGAUAGGCCGGGUGUGUAAGCGCAGCGAUGCGUUGAGCUAACCGGUACUAAUGAACCGUGAGGCUUAACCUUACA